Molecule: long non-coding RNA, 3776 nt
Organism: Athene cunicularia (burrowing owl)
Lineage: Eukaryota; Metazoa; Chordata; Aves; Strigiformes; Strigidae
Exons: 3
Source: RefSeq, a predicted model, not a curated record
CCUGGCAAUUAUUGGAAUCUUGGAUGCCCUGAUCCUCUCAUUUCUGGCAUUUGUGCUUGGCAACAGACAAGACAGCUUGCUAGCAGAGGAGCUCAAGUUGGAAAACAAAGAUGAUGGAAAUGCUUAAAACAAGUUAAGGUAGUAUGACACAGACUAAUUCCUACUAAGCCAAUCUUCACUAGAAUGAGCACAAAACAAAACGAAUAACAGCUUUUGUACAUCAACAUUAAAAUGGGAAGAAGCUUGGGAAAGGGCCUCCGACAGAGAAGAACGAUGACGAGUGCAAAAACGCCUGAUGGGUAAGCGCCACCUUCUAAACAUAGAUCAGCCAGACGUGGAAGUGAUUUUCAGAAGAGAAAUGCAAUCAUGGAUUACACACCAGCUCAUUAGAAACUGUUGCUGAAUGCAGCAUCCAGAAGACAUGCAUGAAAAGUCACAUUUGGGGAAUAAAUUAAAAGGGGUGUAGUUGUUGCUAGAUAAACAUAUGUAAUAUAUAUGCAUUCAAGAGGUUUGUAAAUGUCAUUUUUUUUAUUCGGACGGAAAGCAAAAAGCUUUAAAACCUUUCACAGUAGAGAGGCAGUUAACUCCAGACUAUUCCUAUCCCAGUAGCCAAGAAGCUGAUAGGACAUCUCUUAAAUUAGCAUUUACAAUAGACUCUCUGAAUGUUUCCAUCACUUAGUGGAAAAAGCAUAACUUUUACUGCUACAUUGCUGCACUUCAUUUACUUCACUGUAUAAUAAGUUGACUAAAACUGUAAAGCUUCUCAAUUUUUACUGUAUAUGUGUUCCAAUUAAUCUAUGUCUGUAACAAACUUGACUGAAAAAUUAUUUCUGACUUAUAUUCUAGUUCUAUGAAGCAUAUAUACUAUAAGAUAUGUCUGAUUGAAUAUCAUAUUACUAUAAUUUCCCAAGACACAUAGAAUUGUUUGUAUUUGAAGUGACAAAAUAAAAGCACUUGAUUUAUUUUUUAGUAGGAGAAAGUAAUUUACCCCUUAAAUGUAACAUACCACUGCUCACUGCAAGGGUCUUUCUAUUCUUUUCCUUGUUCUGCCAUAUAACCGCUGAGUGACACUCUCUGGCCUGUGCUAAUGCCAAUCAGGUGAAGUGAUCUAACAAUCCCUUCUGGCCUUAAACUCAAUUCAUAAAUUAAGAGACUAGUAAACAAAUACACAUUGCAAAUAGCUAUGUGAGGGCUGAGGGUGCAGAGCCUUGGGGCAUUGGUGAGGCUGGUGCUUCCCCCCACAGGGGCUCAACAGGUCACUCCUCAAAGGCACCCUCAUUUCCAGAAUCCACUGAGCACUAAAACAGGGGAAGGCACAAGAUAUCAAGAUGUCAUAGUGAAAGGUCUGGAUGCCAAGUGCCAGGCACAGAGCAAUGGAGGGAAGCAGGGACCCCUUCUCCUCUGCUCCUCCUCUCCAGUACCUCCCAGCAUGGCACACAUCUUCUGGCUCAGGACUGGGCAGGAGCAUGCUGCUUCCUACAUUUCUUCUACCCUCUCAUGCGUAUUGCAUCUGAAUCCAGCCCAAAAUGAGCACUGCAAUGCUAAUUUCUUCAGAUUUUUUAAGCCUGUUGCUUCAUUCUAUGGCUUUUUGGGGGAAUGGUUAAAAUAAUAAUUCAUUGCUAAUGUAGUUCCCAAAUAACACAAUACACUGAAGACAUGAGUAAAACAUGAGUUAAAACUGGUUUUUGUCUAUUGGCUACACAACACAAAUUAUUCCAAAAUUUUGUGCGUGGUCUUAUCUUUUAUUUUUUUAAAUAAAACCCAUCUUUAAACAAACUGUCAGUAAAUAAAUACAGGGAAUUAGAUAACUCUUCUAUCUAACUACCAAGGUACCAGUGUGGCACUGCUUAUCUUAGAGACUGAACGCUAAUGUGGAUAACUACCAAGUAAAUUUAUGUGUAAAUCUGGGCAGCAUUUUUUUAAGAAAACUUGUUUUAAUCCAAAUCUGCUCUCAUAACUGUGUGUAGGAGACUCCACUGACUUCCACAGGACCAGGUUUAGAGGCAGUCAAAAACCCCACCCAGAUCAAUCAACCACCAUAAAUAUAUUCCCAGUACCCACUGCUGACCUGAAGGGGAUGGAAGGUAAAAAUAAAGUAGUUUACACAUGAGACCGCAUAAACUCAUUAAGGUCCCACUUCAGAUAGGUUUUGAAGUCUGUGAUUAGUCCAACCAGUGUCAGCUGGAAAACGCACAUCCCUUAGGGCUGCAUGCAUUCAGGAGUCAUUGUUAAAUCGUGUCUCCAUGAAGCCCAUCCUCAUUCACUGCUCUUGUUGGCUCACAGCCACAGUCUCACCUCAAAAGCCUGUGAAAGGGUUUGCUAUCUGGAUGUGCUGUCGUAUCACUGUCUUCAUUUGCUCCUUGGGUUUACCUCUAUCCCACAUUAUAGCAGUCGUGGCACUUCUGCUGUGACAAAAAAUCAGAAAUCACUGAAACAGGGUUUUUCUGUAAUACAUUAUUUUGUUAUGGGCUACUAAGUUUUGCAUCAUGGUGGCUGUGUAAUAUAAAAGCUCUUUCUAAAUAUACACAAACGUUGCAAAAAAAGUGUCACCACAAGACCUCACAACCCUGUUAGGGCAGCUCAGUGAAUAUGUACCAUUUGUACACAGUCAGAAGGAGAUCAGGAUGUACAUCACUAAAUGUUGACUCAGUAUGAAUAGUAUGUUUUAUCUUUUUAAAUGUUACGGCUUUCCCAUCCCACUCAAUUGUAACUUGUCAAUUGUAAUUUUUUUUUAAAGUCAACAAACUGUAAAGAAAACUGUUGAAAUACCUGAUUUUCUGUAAAAAGUAAUAACAAUAAUUUUUGUUACUUUAAAGUAUGCUUGGUAUUAAAGUACCUAAUAAAGUUCAACAAUGAAUUUUGUAGCAUACAAAUAAAGUGUGAUAGUGCUUUUCUCCUGCUGAUCUGUGGUAACAGCUGCUGUUGUUGGGAUUACUGUCCUUCUAAACAGAAGCCUGGCCACCCCCUACACACCUGUACCUACACAGAUCCCUAAGAUAUGUAAAGUUCAAGAAAAAUCUGAUCCCUUAAUGAGUGCAGGGAUUUGUAUCCACAGGUCAAAUUAACAGUAUAAGUACCUUGCUGUUUAAGGUAAGUCAUCUCCACCCUCUGGUACCUGACUAUAUAUAUAUGGGCAACAAUAUAAAGUUCCUGAUUGCUUUAGUUUUUAGUAAGAGAAAGGAGACUGUAAAUUAUUUAGGAGUUAAUUAUCAUUAAAUAGAGAACUGACAGGUUUGUAGGAUGAUGGAGUCCUUCCAGUUCAUUUUUAUAGGCAACACAUUUCAGUUAUUCCUAAAUAGAUUGGAAAGCUCAAACAAGUUAUUUGGAGGACACAGUAAAGCCCCCAAAUUUAUCCCUCUUAAUUUCACUACAUGAAGUUACACUGGAAUGGUGUAUCAAAGAUGUACAUCAUCCCAGAGCUUGAACCAACAAGAGGCAAGUACUUUCUUGUCAAAUAGAUACUGGAUUUGCUUCCAUGAUGCUGAUGCAGUAGUAUCUGUGUCUGGAGACGAUCUAGAAAUGGUUGUGACUGGUAUCUAAUUAUUCCCAAACCCUAGGCUCUGCCAUAUUUCGUUAAGAGUAAUGGACCAGCUUCCCUCACACCAUCCAGCUUGCCCUGUUCUAGAUAGGAAAAUGUAAUGCUGGGCCCAGCAGCUUUCUGUCCAUUUUCACUCUGCUAGUCUGACAUCCUUAAACAUUUAAAAGUUUUAGUAGUUUCAGCUGAUUCCUUGAGCAUUUGAAAUGAAAUAAGAACUAGAAAAUUAAUUUUUAAAAAA